This 429-nucleotide ribosomal RNA is filed under the name bacterium. RNAcentral's name for it is "partial 16S ribosomal RNA". It matches the Rfam family "Bacterial small subunit ribosomal RNA", at positions 355 to 776 of the family's 1533-position model. The record is from RNAcentral.
UAGGGAAUCUUCCACAAUGGACGCAAGUCUGAUGGAGCAACGCCGCGUGAGUGAAGAAGGUUUUCGGAUCGUAAAGCUCUGUUGUUGGUGAAGAAGGAUAGAGGCAGUAACUGGUCUUUAUUUGACGGUAAUCAACCAGAAAGUCACGGCUAACUACGUGCCAGCAGCCGCGGUAAUACGUAGGUGGCAAGCGUUGUCCGGAUUUAUUGGGCGUAAAGCGAGCGCAGGCGGAAUGAUAAGUCUGAUGUGAAAGCCCACGGCUCAACCGUGGAACUGCAUCGGAAACUGUCAUUCUUUAGUGCAGAAGAGAGGAGUGGAAUUCCAUGUGUAGCGGUGGAAUGCGUAGAUAUAUGGAAGAGCACCAGUGGCGAAGGCGGAUCUCUGGUCUGCGACUGACGCUGAGGCUCGAAAGCGUGGGUAGCGAACAGG